GGGGGCCCGCACAAGCGGCGGAGCAUGCGGAUUAAUUCGAUGCAACGCGAAGAACCUUACCAAGGCUUGACAUAUACGAGAACGCACUGGAGACAGUGAACUCUUUGGACACUCGUAUACAGGUGGUGCAUGGUUGUCGUCAGCUCGUGUCGUGAGAUGUUGGGUUAAGUCCCGCAACGAGCGCAACCCUCGUCCUAUGUUGCCAGCACGUAAUGGUGGGAACUCAUGGGAUACUGCCGGGGUCAACUCGGAGGAAGGUGGGGACGACGUCAAAUCAUCAUGCCCCUUAUGUCUUGGGCUUCACGCAUGCUACAAUGGCCGGUACAAAGGGUUGCGAUACUGUGAGGUGGAGCUAAUCCCAAAAAGCCGGUCUCAGUUCGGAUUGGGGUCUGCAACUCGACCCCAUGAAGUCGGAGUCGCUAGUAAUCGCAGAUCAGCAACGCUGCGGUGAAUACGUUCCCGGGCCUUGUACACACCGCCCGUCAAGUCACGAAAGUUGGUAACACCCGAAGCCGGUGGCCUAACCCCUUGUGGGAGGGAGCUGUCGAAGGUGGGACUGGCGAUUG
Molecule: ribosomal RNA, 566 nt
Filed under: uncultured bacterium
Lineage: Bacteria
Description: bacterial SSU rRNA
Rfam family: Bacterial small subunit ribosomal RNA
Source: RNAcentral